AGAGUUUGAUCAUGGCUCAGGAUGAACGCUAGCGACAGGCCUAACACAUGCAAGUCGAGGGGCAGCGAAGAGGUAGCAAUACCUUGUCGGCGACCGGCGCACGGGUGAGUAACACGUAUGCAAUCCACCUGUAACAGGGGGAUAACCCGGAGAAAUCCGGACUAAUACCCCAUAAUAUGGGCGCUCCGCAUGGAGGGCCCAUUAAAGAGAGCAAUUUUGGUUACAGACGAGCAGUGCGCUCCAUUAGCCAGUUGGCGGGGUAACGGCCCACCAAAGCGACGAUGGAUAGGGGUUCUGAGAGGAAGGUCCCCCACCAUUAGAACUGAGACACGGUCCAGACUCCUACGGGAGGCAGCA
Molecule: ribosomal RNA, 357 nt
Filed under: uncultured bacterium
Lineage: Bacteria
Description: bacterial SSU rRNA
Rfam family: Bacterial small subunit ribosomal RNA
Source: RNAcentral